RNAcentral lists this RNase P RNA (380 nucleotides) under Rhodospirillales bacterium. RNAcentral's name for it is "RNase P RNA component class A". It matches the Rfam family "Bacterial RNase P class A". From Rfam's summary of the family: Ribonuclease P (RNase P) is a ubiquitous endoribonuclease, found in archaea, bacteria and eukarya as well as chloroplasts and mitochondria. Its best characterised activity is the generation of mature 5'-ends of tRNAs by cleaving the 5'-leader elements of precursor-tRNAs. Cellular RNase Ps are ribonucleoproteins. Lineage: Bacteria; Pseudomonadati; Pseudomonadota; Alphaproteobacteria; Rhodospirillales. The record is from RNAcentral.
CCAGACGGUCGGAUGGCCGCUCUUCGUUGCGCGCGAGCGCGGCGCGGGGAGGAAAGUCCGGGCUCCACGGAAACACGGUGCCGGGUAACGCCCGGCGGGGGCGACCCCAGGGAAAGUGCCACAGAGAGCAGACCGCCGGUACGCCGCGAGGCCGACCGGCAAGGGUGAAAGGGUGCGGUAAGAGCGCACCGCGUUCCCGGCGACGGGGACGGCACGGCAAACCCCACCGGGAGCAAGACCAAAUAGGGGCGGCGCUCAAAUCCGUUUCCGGAUCGCCGCCCGGGUAGGUCGCGCGAGGCGCCUGGCGACAGGCGUCCCAGAUGAAUGGCCGUCACCCGCCUCGGCGGGGACAGAACCCGGCUUACAGGCCGUCUGGCACC